ACGAACGCUGGCGGCGUGCCUCAUCCAUGCAAGUAGAACGCACAGUUUAUACCGUAGCUUGCUACACCAUAGCCUGUGAGUUGCGAACGGGUGAGUAACGCGUAGGUAACCUGCCUGGUAGCGGGGGAUAACUAUUGGAAACGAUAGCUAAUACCGCAUAAUAUUAAUUAUUGCAUGAUAAUUAAUUGAAAGGUGCAAUUGCACCACUACCAGAUGGACCUGCGUUGUAUUAGCUAGUAGGUGAGGUAACGGCUCACCUAGGCGACGAUACAUAGCCGACCUGAGAGGGUGAUCGGCCACACUGGGACUGAGACACGGCCCAGACUCCUACGGGAGGCAGCAGUAGGGAAUCUUCGGCAAUGGACGAAAGUCUGACCGAGCAACGCCGCGUGAGUGAAGAAGGUUUUCGGAUCGUAAAGCUCUGUUGUAAGAGAAGAACGGGUGUGAGAGUGGAAAGUUCACACUGUGACGGUAUCUUACCAGAAAGGGACGGCUAACUACGUG
This 504-nucleotide ribosomal RNA is filed under the name uncultured bacterium. Its description in RNAcentral is "partial 16S ribosomal RNA". It matches the Rfam family "Bacterial small subunit ribosomal RNA", at positions 29 to 507 of the family's 1533-position model. The record is from RNAcentral.